ACUCAUGAGUUUACCAGUCAAAUGAAUGCAGUAAAGAGGUCAAUGGAACACAGACAGUGGGGGAUAGAAUAAGGAUGCAGGAUUGGCGCACAUUCAACAAAUCUGAUAUAACAAAGUAGAUAUUCAUCAAAUCCGUCAUGAUUGAUGUAUUGUAAGUCGCUCUGGAUAAGAGCGUCUGCUAAAUGACUUAAAUGUAAUGUAAAUGUAAAUGUAAUGUAACAGGCCCACAAUAUGGUUACUAAAGUCCAAUUUGGAUAUAUUUGGCUGUUUUUCCUGCAUAACAUUUAGAAGUUGUUCCUUUUCCAGUUUAGAAGAAGUGACUCCUAAAUGCUAACUCCCGUUUGUGUAAGCUGGUAGCAUAGCUAGCAUACAGAAAUUGGUGGUGGCAGUCAAAGUCGUUUUUUAACUGCAAUGCUGUUGAUUGGUGACGAUGUCAAGAAAAUGCUUUGGGGUUGGCAUCUAUAGAAACAUUAUAUUCAGAUUUUUACCUCAACCUAGUGUGAAAUACACAUAUAAACAAUAGCCUAAAUGCAGGAAAAUUUUGCUAGGGGCCAAUGAGGAGAUUUGGGAUCUUUCCCCAACAGCAUAUUUCCCCCGUGUUUCCAUGGCAUUUCCAUUGUUUGGGUCAAGUUCCAUUGACCUCUUUACUGCAUCUUUUGCCAGGGUUAGAGCUUCCAUGCCCUCUCUAUUCAUUAUAUUUCUAUGGUGCUGCCUGCCUACCACAGCUUGAAGUUCCAGUGAGAUGGGUUAUUAUGAUGUAAGAGGUAGAGGAACAGACGACCUAUGAAAUGAUCUCUGUCUGCAUGCAUUAACAUUGUCAUAUUUUUCAAAGAAACGCACAGGCAAGCCAAGCUCCACCAAAGAAAAUAUUUGCAAGGCCGAAGACCUUAGGGACGUUGUUCUAAAGGUAAUACAAUCAGGCGACCUCUAACCCAAAAGACACCUGGUCUGUAUGUAACUGUAGAAGUUUGAAAUGAAUGAUGUCCUGUAGAUAUUGUCUCCUACUGCUGAUACUGGUGCACUCAAUCUAUCAGCCAACAACAAUAAAGCAAUGGACUGAUUUCAGUUAUAAAAGAUUUCAAUUUUUUGCACCUAGGGUUUACUGAGGGUUACUUAUUAUAAUCAAUCAUAAAGGUAUCUUAAAAUACAGUCGAAAUAAUUGUAACAUGUUAAAAUUGACUAAAAUGACCCGUCAUUAUACAAUAAGGCUUUUUGUCAAAUGACUUUUGCCUAAUUGAUAUAGAAGACAUAAGAACAAAAGAACAAUCAGGUAUAACAGUCUUUUUUUAUUGUCUAUUCCAAGCCAUUAAUGAACAUUCCUCACUGUUUGCACCACUAUAAAAGGCCAAAACUUUUCAUCCAUUAUUUUUUCGUAUAGUUAAGGAAAGGAUAUGUGAAAGUCUAAAUUAGAUCAUUAUUGAAUGCUAUUACAAAAAAACAUUUUUAAUAUUCAUCAGCCUCCCACACAAAGACAAGACUAUUCAUUCCAUUCAACAUUUCCAAUGUCACAUUUUUUGCUCUGUUGUCCAGUUUUGUUUCCGGUUUUCCUAUACUCAUCCCUCAAAUUUCGCUGGCUUUCAUCUCACCACAAAUACUGCAAACACAGGCUGCCCUUCUGCAAUGACAUAUGGGGCACAAAGACUCAGUGGGGCACACUGCAUCCAUGUCUCACAUCUCUUCCUACAUGUAUCUCACUCCCCCUCUCUACACUUGAGUGGUUGUAUUUCCUUUUGGUUAAUCGGAAACUCCUUUGCCACAACAGGCAUUUUUAUAUUUAUCUUCAGAAGCCUGUGUUGGAGGUUUUUUUUCGGAUCAUUAGGGACUUCACAUUUAUAUUAGCUUCAGACCAAGUCUACAGCCUGACUUAUUGCCUCACCGAUUGCCUCAGGAAUCUGGAUGUCGCCAGUCAGGUUCAAGUUCUUUUUUAAUUCGCAGUCACUUUGCACUUCAACGGCAUCCUCUGGCUUGUCAAUGCCGUUGACACAUUCCUUUUGCUGUGGCUCCGGGGCAGACACGGCAGCCGGCUCGGCUGCCUGCUCCUGACACUCCCCAUUGACCUCAGGGGCAGAAGGCUCAGCAGUAGCCUCCACUGCGGAAACAACUUCCUUGUUGUCCAGCACAGCCUCCUCUUGCUCAGCGCUGGCCUCCUCUGCAGCCGCAGGUGCAGCAGAUUCUGAAAUGAUGAUCUCCGGGAUGGGUUCUGCAAUGUCGGCAGCCUCAGGCUCUGCUGCUUCAGUUACUGCAUCAGCAGCUUCAGAUUCAAGCUCUGCUACGGAUUCUUCUAUAGGUAGGGGGAGCUCUUCAGCGGCUGGUUGUGGGAUGGAUUCUGCCUCUGGCUCUGCGGCUGCCUCUGUGGCUGACUCUGACACGGCUUCUGCAACUGAUGCAGGCUCCUCCUCCGGGGCGGAUGAAGCUGCUUCUGCCUCUACUGGUGCCUCGACCACAGCCUCAGGUUCUGGGGCCUUCCCUGUAACAGUCUCUGUUUCAGGCUCUGGAGCAGCAGGCUCUGGUUCUGUAGUGUCUGUAAUCUCUGCUGUCACCUCUGUGGCUUGUUCUGUAGCCUCAGAAGCCUUUUCUGGUACUGCAGCUAGCUCCACAGAGGCUACCUCAGGCUCUUCUGGUGCAGGCUCUUUUGGUGCUGCCUCAGGCUCUUCUGGUGCAGGCUCUUUUGGUGCUGCCGCAGGCUCUUCUGGUGGAGGCUUUUCCACUGCGGGCUCUUUUGGUGCAGGUUCUUUUGGUGCUGUUGCAGACUCUUCUGGUACAGGCUCUUCCACUGCAGGCUCUUUUGGUGCAGCCGCUGGUUCCUCUAGUGCCGCUGGUUCUUCCGGUGCCUUUGUUUUAUCUGGUGCUGCCGCAGGUUCCUCUGGUGCUGCCGCAGGUUCCUCUGGUGAUGCUGCUGGUUCCUCAGCUGCUGCAGGUUCUUCCGGUGCUGCCACUGGCUCUUCUGAGGCUGAAGGUUCUUCUGGUGCUGCAGCUGACGCUGGGUCCUCUGGUGCUGCAGCUGGUUCUUCUGAAGCCACUGGUUCCUUUGCUGCUGGCGCUGGUUCUCCAGGUGCUGCCACGGGUUCAUCUGGUACAGCCGCUGGCUCUGCGGUGGCCCCCUUGGCCACUGCCUCUAUAGCUGACAGGGCCUCUUCUGUCGCUUCUGUGAUGGCUACCGCUGCCGACUCCACUGCUCCCUCCACUUCAGCAGACACCUUAGGAGCAGUCUUCGCUGCCAACUCAGCGACCGGAGCUGGUGCUUUGCUCUCCACGGCAUGGGCCACGGCCUCAACGGCACUCACAGCAGCCACAGUAAUCUCCUCCUUCUUGUCCUUUGGGUCGCUGACAUCGUACCCCUUCUUCCUCUUGCUCAGCUUGCCUCCCAUGGUG
This 3372-nucleotide long non-coding RNA is filed under the name Salmo salar (Atlantic salmon). Its description in RNAcentral is "lncRNA (ENSSSAG00000109660.1)". The stretch from base 139 to 192 matches the Rfam family "UnaL2 LINE 3' element". The record is from RNAcentral. Lineage: Eukaryota; Metazoa; Chordata; Actinopteri; Salmoniformes; Salmonidae.